GGGGAUUUAGCUCAAUGGAAGAGCACUUGUCUAUCAUGCAUGAGGCCUUGGGUUCAAUCCCUA
This 63-nucleotide transfer RNA is filed under the name Urocitellus parryii (Arctic ground squirrel). Its description in RNAcentral is "Spermophilus parryii (Arctic ground squirrel) tRNA". It matches the Rfam family "tRNA", at positions 1 to 62 of the family's 71-position model. From Rfam's summary of the family: Transfer RNA (tRNA) molecules are approximately 80 nucleotides in length. Lineage: Eukaryota; Metazoa; Chordata; Mammalia; Rodentia; Sciuridae. RNAcentral also lists the same sequence under 2 other names. The record is from Rfam by way of RNAcentral.